RNAcentral lists this ribosomal RNA (417 nucleotides) under Neisseria shayeganii. RNAcentral's name for it is "bacterial SSU rRNA". It matches the Rfam family "Bacterial small subunit ribosomal RNA", at positions 9 to 422 of the family's 1533-position model. The record is from RNAcentral. Lineage: Bacteria; Pseudomonadati; Pseudomonadota; Betaproteobacteria; Neisseriales; Neisseriaceae.
GAGUUUGAUCCUGGCUCAGAUUGAACGCUGGCGGCAUGCUUUACACAUGCAAGUCGGACGGCAGCACAAAGAAGCUUGCUUCUUGGGUGGCGAGUGGCGAACGGGUGAGUAACGCAUCGGAACGUACCGAGUAGUGGGGGAUAACUGUCCGAAAGGAUGGCUAAUACCGCAUACGCUUUGAGAAGGAAAGCGGGGGAUCUUCGGACCUCGCGCUAUUCGAGCGGCCGAUGUCUGAUUAGCUAGUUGGUGGGGUAAAGGCCUACCAAGGCGACGAUCAGUAGCGGGUCUGAGAGGAUGAUCCGCCACACUGGGACUGAGACACGGCCCAGACUCCUACGGGAGGCAGCAGUGGGGAAUUUUGGACAAUGGGCGCAAGCCUGAUCCAGCCAUGCCGCGUGUCUGAAGAAGGCCUUCGGG